This 1286-nucleotide ribosomal RNA is filed under the name metagenome. RNAcentral's name for it is "bacterial LSU rRNA". It matches the Rfam family "Bacterial large subunit ribosomal RNA", at positions 1651 to 2925 of the family's 2925-position model. The record is from RNAcentral.
AAACCGACACAGGUGGGCAGGAAGAAAAUUCUAAGGUGCUUGAGAGAACUCAGGAGAAGGAACUCGGCAAAUUGAUACCGUAACUUCGGGAGAAGGUAUGCCUCAUUAGCUUGAAGAGCGUCGCGCUUGGAGGGCGAAGAGGCCGCAGAGAAUAGGUGGCUGCGACUGUUUAUCAAAAACACAGCACUGUGCCAACACGAAAGUGGUCGUAUACGGUGUGACGCCUGCCCGGUGCCGGAAGGUUAAGUGAAGGGGUGCAAGCUCUAGAUCGAAGCCCCGGUAAACGGCGGCCGUAACAAUAACGGUCCUAAGGUAGCGAAAUUCCUUGUCGGGUAAGUUCCGACCCGCACGAAUGGCGUAACGAUGGCCACACUGUCUCCUCCUGAGACUCAGCGAAGUUGAAAUGGUUGUGAAGAUGCAAUCUACCCGCUGCUAGACGGAAAGACCCCGUGAACCUUUACUGUAGCUUUGCAUGGGACUUUGAACAGACUUGUGUAGGAUAGGUGGGAGGCAAAGAAGGCGGAACGCGAGUUCUGUUGGAGCCGCCCUUGAAAUACCACCCUGGUGUGUUUGAGGUUCUAACCUAGGUCCGUGAACCGGAUUGGGGACAGUGCAUGGUAGGCAGUUUGACUGGGGCGGUCUCCUCCCAAAGCGUAACGGAGGAGUUCGAAGGUCACCUAGGCACGGUCGGAAAUCGUGCUGAUAGUGCAAUGGCAAAAGGUGGCUUAACUGCGAGAGGGACAACUCGAGCAGGUGCGAAAGCAGGACAUAGUGAUCCGGUGGUUCUGAAUGGAAGGGCCAUCGCUCAACGGAUAAAAGGUACUCCGGGGAUAACAGGCUGAUUCCGCCCAAGAGUUCAUAUCGACGGCGGAGUUUGGCACCUCGAUGUCGGCUCAUCACAUCCUGGGGCUGUAGCCGGUCCCAAGGGUAUGGCUGUUCGCCAUUUAAAGUGGUACGCGAGCUGGGUUCAAAACGUCGUGAGACAGUUUGGUCCCUAUCUGCAGUGGGCGUUGGAAGUUUGACGGGGGCUGCCCCUAGUACGAGAGGACCGGAGUGGACGAACCUCUGGUGUACCGGUUGUCACGCCAGUGGCAUCGCCGGGUAGCUAAGUUCGGAAGAGAUAACCGCUGAAAGCAUCUAAGCGGGAAACUCGCCUGAAGAUGAGACUUCCCUGGAACGUCAGUUCCCUAAAGAGUCGUUCGAGACCAGGACGUUGAUAGGUCGGGUGUGAAAGCGCCAAGAGGCGUGUAGCUAACCGAUACUAAUGGCUCGUGAGGCUUGAUCCU